Molecule: unclassified non-coding RNA, 202 nt
Filed under: plant metagenome
Description: partial contains small subunit ribosomal RNA and internal transcribed spacer 1
Rfam family: Eukaryotic small subunit ribosomal RNA (bases 1-46)
Source: RNAcentral
AAGUCGUAACAAGGUUUCCGUAGGUGAACCUGCGGAAGGAUCAUUAAUGAGAUCAUGUCCUUCGGGGUAGGACCUCCCCACCCCCCUGCUUUAUCCGUACCCCGUUGCUUUCGGCGGUCCCGUUGCGGCCAAGAACGGGCCGCCAGAGGACCUUUAAAACCCGUAUUAUCAUUGUCGUCUGAGUACUAUACAAUAGUUAAAA